AUGAAGAGUUUGAUCCUGGCUCAGGAUGAACGCUAGCGGCAGGCCUAACACAUGCAAGUCGAGGGGCAGCAUAGAUUGCUUGCAAUCUGAUGGCGACCGGCGCACGGGUGCGUAACGCGUAUGAAACCUACCUAAUACAGGGGGAUAGCCCAGAGAAAUUUGGAUUAAUACCCCAUGGUACUGUGGUCUCGCAUGAGAUUAUAGUUAAAGAUUUAUCGGUAUUAGAUGGUCAUGCGUCCUAUUAGUUAGUUGGUAAGGUAACGGCUUACCAAGACUUCGAUAGGUAGGGGCCCUGAGAGGGGGAUCCCCCACACUGGUACUGAGACACGGACCAGACUCCUACGGGAGGCAGCAGUGAGGAAUAUUGGACAAUGGAGGCAACUCUGAUCCAGCCAUGCCGCGUGAAGGAAGAAUGUCCUACGGAUUGUAAACUUCUUUUAUUUGGGAAGAAACUUCUCUACGUGUAGAGAACUGACGGUACCAAACGAAUAAGGACCGGCUAACUCCGUGCCAGCAGCCGCGGUAAUGCGGA
This 532-nucleotide ribosomal RNA is filed under the name Kryptoperidinium foliaceum. RNAcentral describes it as "partial Bacterial small subunit ribosomal RNA". It matches the Rfam family "Bacterial small subunit ribosomal RNA", at positions 1 to 529 of the family's 1533-position model. Lineage: Eukaryota; Dinophyceae; Peridiniales; Kryptoperidiniaceae. The record is from RNAcentral.